GGAUGAAGACCCUCUGCGAUUUCUGACACCUCGUAAGACAGCUGCAUCCAUAGCCUGAUUCUAGUGCUGGACUGAGGGCCC
Molecule: small nucleolar RNA, 81 nt
Organism: Ornithorhynchus anatinus (platypus)
Lineage: Eukaryota; Metazoa; Chordata; Mammalia; Monotremata; Ornithorhynchidae
Product: small nucleolar RNA SNORD60
Exons: 1
Source: RefSeq, a predicted model, not a curated record